RNAcentral lists this ribosomal RNA (326 nucleotides) under uncultured eukaryote. RNAcentral's name for it is "partial 18S ribosomal RNA". It matches the Rfam family "Eukaryotic small subunit ribosomal RNA", at positions 1470 to 1796 of the family's 1831-position model. The record is from RNAcentral.
CCCUUAGAUGUUCUGGGCCGCACGCGCGCUACACUGAUGCAUUCAACGAGUUCCUACCUUGGCCAAGAGGCCUGGGCAAUCUUUUGAACUUGCAUCGUGAUAGGGAUAGAUUAUUGCAAUUAUUAAUCUUGAACGAGGAAUUCCUAGUAAACGCAGAUCAUCAAUCUGCAUUGAUUACGUCCCUGCCCUUUGUACACACCGCCCGUCGCACCUACCGAUUGAAUGGUCCGGUGAAGCCUCGGGAUUGUGGUUAGUUUCCUUCAUUGGAAGUUAGCCGCGAGAACUUGUCUAAACCUUAUCAUUUAGAGGAAGGUGAAGUCGUAACA